AAACCGUUGAAAGGGAAGCGAAUGGAGUUAGCAAUUCGCCCUGCCAGAUUCAGCUGUUCGUGCUUCGUGACGUGCGCGUGCUCGAUCCACUCUUGGGCGAGCCGUGUACGGACGCGACGUGCUGGCGGCGCACUUCUGGCUAAGCGAGCGUCAGCGUCGGUUGUCGACGGGCGACAAGGACGAGAGGAAGGUGAGCCGGUCUUCACGGCCGGUUGUUAAGCCUCUUGAUCGCAUAGCUCGACGGCGACCGUGGCUCUGCGACGCGUGCCUAGCUGGUGACUCGUGUGAUCGGUUCGGCUGUCGACCGUGGCGGACGGCAUGCCUGUGCGUUCCAAACUGCUGCCGGUCGAUCGCAUGAUGUUCACACAAUACGCGUCGAAGAUGCUGACGGCCAUACGGCUCCAUCCGACCCGUCUUGAAACACGGACCAAGGAGUCUAACAUGUGCGCGAGUCUCCGGGUGAUCGAAACCCGUGGGCAUAAUGAAAGUAAAGAUCGUCAUUGACGAUUGAGGUGAGAAGCGAACACUUCGGUGUUCGCUGCAUCAUCGACCGACCUAUUCUGCUCUCAGAAAGGUUUGAGUAAGAGCGUAUCUGUUGGGACCCGAAAGAUGGUGAACUAUGCCUGAAUAGGGUGAAGCCAGCGGAAACACUGGUGGAAGCUCGUAGCGAUUCUGACGUGCAAAUCGAUCGUCGAAUUUGGGUAUAGCGGCGAAAGACUAAUCGAACCAUCUAGUAGCUGGUUCCCUCCGAAGUUUCCCUCAGGAUAGCUGGAGUUCAUACAUGCAGU
RNAcentral lists this ribosomal RNA (788 nucleotides) under Plexaurella nutans. Its description in RNAcentral is "eukaryotic LSU rRNA". It matches the Rfam family "Eukaryotic large subunit ribosomal RNA", at positions 402 to 999 of the family's 3401-position model. The record is from RNAcentral. Lineage: Eukaryota; Metazoa; Cnidaria; Anthozoa; Malacalcyonacea; Plexauridae.